This 441-nucleotide ribosomal RNA is filed under the name uncultured bacterium. Its description in RNAcentral is "partial 16S ribosomal RNA". It matches the Rfam family "Bacterial small subunit ribosomal RNA", at positions 338 to 795 of the family's 1533-position model. The record is from RNAcentral.
CCUACGGGAGGCAGCAGUGGGGAAUAUUGCACAAUGGGCGAAAGCCUGAUGCAGCAACGCCGCGUGAAGGAAGAUGGUUUUCGGAUGGUAAACUUCUGUUCUUAGUGAAGAAUAAUGACGGUAACUAAGGAGCAAGCCACGGCUAACUACGUGCCAGCAGCCGCGGUAAUACGUAGGUGGGAGGCGUUGUCCGGAAUUACUGGGUGUAAAGGGAGCGUAGGCGGGAAGCCAAGUCAGCUGUGAAAACUACGGGCUUAACCUGUAGACUGCAGUUGAAAGUGGCGUUCUUGAGUGAAGUAGAGGUGGGCGGAAUUUCGGGUGUAGCGGUGAAAUGCGUAGAUAUUCGGAGGAACACCGGUGGCGAAGGCGGCCAACUGAGCUGUAACUGACGCUGAGGCUCGAAAGUGUGGGGAGCAAACAGGAUUAGAUACCCGAGUAGUC